Mustela lutreola (European mink) is the source of this 498-nucleotide long non-coding RNA. RefSeq lists it as uncharacterized. The record is from RefSeq and is a predicted model, not a curated record. NCBI's taxonomy places the organism in Eukaryota, Metazoa, Chordata, Mammalia, Carnivora, Mustelidae. The transcript has 3 exons.
UAAAACGAGAGCAAUAAAUAUAAAGUUUCAGUAAAGUCAGUUGGUACAUUGUUUUUUUACUUAGAGAAGACAUGCUGCUUCAUGUUAAACCUUGAUAUUGUAUAUGUUUCUUGAAGGGCCACUUCUUACUCCUUUGUGUGUUCUCCACAAAGUCCACGAUGAUGCCUUACAUAAAGAGAGAGAGAGAAUUGGGAGGGUGCGCAGAGGAAGAAGAAAACACUCCACUCACUGCCUAGAAAGCCUGCUGGGGAGUUACAUCCCAGGACCCUGAGAUCAUGACCCAAGCCAAAGGCAGUCACUCAAAGGACUGAGCCUCCGAGACAUGGAAGAACAUUCCUGUUGCUCCACAUCCUCACCAACAUUUCGUGUUCUGUUGUCAGUGCUCUGGAUUCUGGGUAUGUACUGGUGUCUCUUUUUUGUUUUAAUUUGCAUUUUCCUGAUGACAUAUGAUGUGAAGCAUCUUUUUAUAUGCUUAUUUGCCAUCUGUAAUAUUGUCUU